Molecule: ribosomal RNA, 253 nt
Filed under: uncultured bacterium
Lineage: Bacteria
Description: partial 16S ribosomal RNA
Rfam family: Bacterial small subunit ribosomal RNA
Source: RNAcentral
UACGUAGGUGGCAAGCGUUGUUCGGAAUUAUUGGGCGUAAAGGGUGCGUAGGCGGCGCGGUAAGUCGGGUGUGAAAUCUUGGAGCUUAACUCCGAAACUGCAUUCGAUACUGCCGUGCUUGAGGACUGGAGAGGAGACUGGAAUUUACGGUGUAGCGGUGAAAUGCGUAGAUAUCGUAAGGAAGACCAGUGGCGAAGGCGGGUCUCUGGACAGUUCCUGACGCUGAAGCACGAAGGCCAGGGGAGCAAACGGG